This 254-nucleotide ribosomal RNA is filed under the name uncultured bacterium. RNAcentral describes it as "partial 16S ribosomal RNA". It matches the Rfam family "Bacterial small subunit ribosomal RNA", at positions 524 to 776 of the family's 1533-position model. The record is from RNAcentral.
UACGAAGGGGGCUAGCGUUGUUCGGAAUUACUGGGCGUAAAGGGCGCGUAGGCGGCUCGGCAAGUUGGAUGUGAAAGCCCAGGGCUCAACCCUGGAAUUGCAUUCAAGACUGCCUUGCUUGAAUUCGGUAGAGGUUGAUGGAAUUCCCCAGUGUAGAGGUGAAAUUCGUAGAGAUUGGGAAGAACACCGGUGGCGAAGGCGGCCAACUGGACCGACAUUGACGCUGAGGCGCGAAAGCGUGGGGAUCAAACAGG